AAAGCAACCACAACCACACUCUCAAACACGCUCUAGCUAUUUAGUGUGUGUUUAGCUUGAAGUUGUUGUUGGUUU
This 75-nucleotide unclassified non-coding RNA is filed under the name Populus trichocarpa (black cottonwood). RNAcentral describes it as "precursor microRNA MIR177". The record is from RNAcentral. Lineage: Eukaryota; Viridiplantae; Streptophyta; Magnoliopsida; Malpighiales; Salicaceae.